UUUUAUUGGAGAGUUUGAUCCUGGCUCAGGGUGAACGCUGGCGGCGUGCCUAAGACAUGCAAGUCGAGCGGGGCAGGUUUAUACCUGUUCAGCGGCGGACGGGUGAGUAACGCGUGGGUGACCUACCCGGAAGAGGCGGACAACCUGGGGAAACCCAGGCUAAUCCGCCAUGUGGUCCUAUCCUGUGGGGUAGGACUAAAGGGGCGACCCCCCGCU
This 216-nucleotide ribosomal RNA is filed under the name Thermus scotoductus. RNAcentral describes it as "partial 16S ribosomal RNA". It matches the Rfam family "Bacterial small subunit ribosomal RNA", at positions 1 to 219 of the family's 1533-position model. The record is from RNAcentral. Lineage: Bacteria; Thermotogati; Deinococcota; Deinococci; Thermales; Thermaceae.